CAUUAAUGAGGGCGUGUGGGCUAAUAUCCCCGCGAACCCUAAUCCUUUGUUUACUGCCUCAUUGUGGUUUUUUUUUUUUUUUUUUUUAAAAAAAAAAAAAAACAUACAUUAACAAAAAUCCUUAAAUAACACAAUUAAUGUCUGAAGUAAAUUAUUUUAAACAAGCAAAACUUUCAACAACGGAUCUCUUGGUUCCGGCAUCGAUGAAGAACGCAGCGAAAUGCGAUAAGUAAUGUGGACCGCAGUACUCAGCGACUCAUCGAAUCUUUGAACGCACAUUGCGCCCCUUGGUAUCACCAAAGGGCACACCUGUUCGAGCGUCAUCAUACAUCGAAUCAGGCCUGGGCGCCCGGGCUUGCAAUUGGGCUUUGUCUGCUUUAUGUAGAAGUCUAAAAGUCAGUGACGGUUAAGUUAGACAUUCCAGCGUAGUGAUUAUAUUAGCUGUUGAAAUGCCUCGUACAUAACAGUCAGGGUUUCUGCUGGCGGAGACCCCAUUAGAUUUUAUCAAAUCAU
This 513-nucleotide unclassified non-coding RNA is filed under the name Peltigera rufescens. Its description in RNAcentral is "sequence contains ITS1, 5.8S rRNA gene and ITS2". The stretch from base 169 to 323 matches the Rfam family "5.8S ribosomal RNA". The record is from RNAcentral. Lineage: Eukaryota; Fungi; Ascomycota; Lecanoromycetes; Peltigerales; Peltigeraceae.